RNAcentral lists this ribosomal RNA (111 nucleotides) under Eriachne pulchella. RNAcentral describes it as "partial 18S ribosomal RNA". It matches the Rfam family "Eukaryotic small subunit ribosomal RNA", at positions 1706 to 1831 of the family's 1831-position model. Lineage: Eukaryota; Viridiplantae; Streptophyta; Magnoliopsida; Poales; Poaceae. RNAcentral also lists the same sequence under 3 other names. The record is from RNAcentral.
GGGGGCGGUUCGCCGCUCUCGAUGUCGCGAGAAGUCCAUUGAACCUUAUCAUUUAGAGGAAGGAGAAGUCGUAACAAGGUUUCCGUAGGUGAACCUGCGGAAGGAUCAUUG